Molecule: ribosomal RNA, 460 nt
Filed under: uncultured bacterium
Lineage: Bacteria
Description: bacterial SSU rRNA
Rfam family: Bacterial small subunit ribosomal RNA
Source: RNAcentral
UACGGGAGGCAGCAGUGGGGAAUAUUGCACAAUGGGCGAAAGCCUGAUGCAGCUAUGCCGCGUGUAUGAAGAAGGCCUUAGGGUUGUAAAGUACUUUCAUCGGGGAGGAAAAAACAAAACUAAUAAUUUUAUUUCUUGACGUUACCCGAAAAAGAAGCACCGGCUAACUCCGUCGCCAGCAGCCGCGGUAAUACGGAGGGUGCUAGCGUUAAUCAGAAUUACUGGGCGUAAAGAGCACGUAGGUGGUUUUUUUAAGUCAGAUGUGAAAUCCCUGGGCUUAACCUAGGAACUGCAUUUUGAAACUGAAAUACUAGAGUAUCGUAGAGGGAGGUAGAAUUCUAGGUGUAGCGGUGAAAUGCGUAGAUAUCUGGAGGAAUACCUGUGGCGAAAGCGGCCUCCUAAACCGAAUACUGACACUGAGGUGCGAAAGCGUGGGGAGCAAACAGGGAUUAGAUACCCG